This 1685-nucleotide long non-coding RNA is filed under the name Dromaius novaehollandiae (emu). Its description in RNAcentral is "lncRNA (ENSDNVG00000014885.1)". The record is from RNAcentral. Lineage: Eukaryota; Metazoa; Chordata; Aves; Casuariiformes; Dromaiidae.
CAAAGCCCGAACUUCAUCUUAAUCCGAGCACCUUGUAUCUCGCAGCCGCUCCCUGGGAUGACUCGCAGAGGUGUAUCUCAUUCUUAGCUGGCCUUCACCGAGAAGGAAUGCAGCACGAUCGCAAUUUUGGUGUGGUGUAAUUACCCUGCCUUUCUUGCCCCAUUACCACUGACAUUGCUCUCCUCACGCCUGGGUUUACAGGCUGRCUUGUACAACCUCUCUGCUUUGUUUUGUUUUGUUUUGCUUUUUAAUGACACUGGCGAGAAGAUGGGAGGUGUUUGCUGGUUUCAUGGAAGCUCCCUUUGGUUUCUGUGUGGCAAGGCACUGAGUCCUGGUUUUUGUAAGACUCUGAAAAAGCUGAGUAAUAAGAUAAAGAAGAAAGUCUGGCAAGAAGUUUUAUUCACAUGAGCAAGCAGUGGCUGGAGCCAAGYGUUUUAUGAUGUUUUAACUGCAAAAUAGUUGAGGGGAUUUCCUCCUUUUCAGAGCUACUGCUGGACUCCCGCAGUGCUGWUAUACAGCUGGCUCCUCAUUUUGACCUUUGUAGCUUUGCCACUGCGCAUCUUUGGACAGAGGUUUGGGGGACCGAGCCCAGCCUUGCAUAAAUUUGCCCUGCGCCCAAGGCAUGGGCUUGCAGAGGGUGGUGCUGACGACUUGCCGGUCGCCGGGAGAGUGUGGGAUGCCCCUGUGCCUUUUCACAGGGCGAUGCUGUCCUGUUCUGGGGGCAGAUGCGUGAAUCUGGCACCCAGGGCAGGACCCGCCUCGCGAUUUGCCUUUUCACGUUGGCUGACACUUCUACAGACCAUUUCACGGUUUAAGAGCAAAUGAAACCUUGACCAUGAGAGGGUCAGAACUCUGCAUUUUAACUACCAGCCGCAGCAGCUGAAGCUACAUCCUGCACUCAGUUGCAUGUCGGCAAGGCAGUGUCUCAGUGAAUAUACGGAGAUAUAACUGGUCAGUCCAAACCGGUGUGCUGGUUUUGGAGCAUUAGGAGCAGAGUCCAGUGAAAAACCAGUCGGCAUCUGACUGGGUCCCAAACGUCUGCAGGUGCAGCUCUGGACGAACGCACGAGGCUCUGGUGGCUGCUCUUCAUCCUCCAAGAGGAUGAAGGCUCAGGCGGCACGUCUGCGCCGGCGGGAACCAAGGCCGGUCCUGAGAAGAAACGGGCAGAUGGGAACUCUGCUUUGGACCGGCGCAGCUUUGUUGCGUCUCCCUGGGCAGGUAGUUAAGCAAGGCUUUUACUGCCUUUGCRCAUAGGCUUCUGGUGCUGAACUCUCACGAAGGGGUUGUUACAGUCUGAACUCGUCUUCCCACUUGGAUCGUCUGAGGAAUCCUCCCGCACUAACGCUUUGCUCUGACGGACCUCCUGCUGUGCGUUGCGGCAGUUGAGAGUGAACCAAAUAAUUAAUUUAGGAAGCAAGUUUUGCUGAGUACGUGACUUAGAAAAUGGAAAAGAGCAGGACUAUUGCAGCAGUGGGGUGGAUUUCAGUUGUAACCUCGGACAAGUGYGUUCUGCCCUGUAGUUGCUAAGCGUUGCACUCGACCAUCCAUCGUUUCAAAAUUGCUUUCUGUUCCAUGAUUAUCUUCACAGGGGAAGGUCAAUUCAAAGUGUUUUCUUGUUUUUCUUUCCAGGGUUGUUUAUCCAUUUCCAUUUUUAAUAAUAAAGGUGAACAAACAAAAGAAAAACA